AUGCCGGAUGCUCCAGUUGAUCGCAUGGUCUUCUGGGAAAGCUUUCGCGGUAUGGGAUGGGGUCGCGUCCUAUCAGCUUGACGGCGGGGUAACGGCCCACCGUGGCUUCGACGGGUAGCCGGCCUGAGAGGGCGACCGGCCACAUUGGGACUGAGAUACGGCCCAGACUCCUACGGGAGGCAGCAGUGGGGAAUAUUGCACAAUGGGCGCAAGCCUGAUGCAGCGACGCCGCGUGAGGGAUGGAGGCCUUCGGGUUGUAAACCUCUUUUAUCGGGGAGCAAGCGAGAGUGAGUUUACCCGUUGAAUAAGCACCGGCUAACUACGUGCCAGCAGCCGCGGUAAUACGUAGGGUGCAAGCGUUAUCCGGAAUUAUUGGGCGUAAAGGGCUCGUAGGCGGUUCGUCGCGUCCGGUGUGAAAGUCCAUCGCUUAACGGUGGAUCCGCGCCGGGUACGGGCGGGCUUGAGUGCGGUAGGGGAGACUGGAAUUCCCGGUGUAACGGUGGAAUGUGUAGAUAUCG
This 518-nucleotide ribosomal RNA is filed under the name Bifidobacterium longum subsp. suillum. Its description in RNAcentral is "bacterial SSU rRNA". It matches the Rfam family "Bacterial small subunit ribosomal RNA", at positions 166 to 699 of the family's 1533-position model. Lineage: Bacteria; Bacillati; Actinomycetota; Actinomycetes; Bifidobacteriales; Bifidobacteriaceae. The record is from RNAcentral.